RNAcentral lists this ribosomal RNA (480 nucleotides) under uncultured bacterium. Its description in RNAcentral is "bacterial SSU rRNA". It matches the Rfam family "Bacterial small subunit ribosomal RNA", at positions 26 to 507 of the family's 1533-position model. The record is from RNAcentral.
AGGACGAACGCUGGCGGCGUGCCUAACACAUGCAAGUCGAACGGGGGGAACAUGAAGUAUUUCGGUACGGAAUGCGCCCCUAGUGGCGAACGGGUGAGUAACACGUGGGCAACCUGCCCCAGACUGGGGGAUAACAUUGUGAAAACAGUGCUAAUACCGCAUGACAGGGUUCCGGGCAUCCGGGACCCUUGAAAGGAGAAAUCCGGUCAGGGAUGGGCCCGCGUCCAAUUAGCUAGUUGGCGGGGUAACGGCCCACCAAGGCGACGAUUGGUAGCCGAACUGAGAGGUUGAUCGGCCACAUUGGGACUGAGACACGGCCCAGACUCCUACGGGAGGCAGCAGUGGGGAAUAUUGGGCAAUGGGCGAAAGCCUGACCCAGCGACGCCGCGUGAAGGAUGAAGGUCUUCGGAUUGUAAACUUCUUUGAUCAGGGAAGAAAGAAAUGACGGUACCUGAAAAACAAGCCACGGCUAACUACGUG